GCCACACAAGCACAACCAAACCUUAUCUCCUCUUUUUUAUGCAUUCUGUGAGUCUGUGACUUCAGUCUCUCCUCUCCUCUUCUCAAUUCUCAUCGACCAGUCGACCUUAAUACCACUCUAUCCAGCCACUCAGAUUGCAAAGGUCUAGGACUCUAGGUCAGCAGGCCAUCUAGCAAUUUUGUGGGAUUUUGGAAUUGAGAAAUUGGAGAAGUCGAGGCUGUCGAGCAGUGAACAAACUCAGAGUCACAGGCUAUGAUUUGAGUUCAAGGAAUCAGUUUCUCUCAUUCACAUUGAUUUGCUAAUUUUGUUUGAAUUGUCUCGGGAUGUUGCUUGAAUUGAUUUGCUAAAAUUUAGAAGCAUGCCUCCUAAAAGAAAAUGUUUAACUGGACAUGCAAAACGCUUAAAGAAAAAAAAAGAUGCACAGUUGGUUAAUUCUUUAAGGGGAAGUCUUGAUAGGUUCAUUAGUAGAGAAUCAGAAGGUUUGGGUGGGCGUUUAGUUAAUGAAGUGGCAGAAGAGCACACUGAUAGGGAAGAUAAUGUGGAAGAGCACACUGAUGGCAAUGUAGUUGUCGAUAAUUUGGGUCAUGAUGAAAAUGAGAAUGGUACAGGACAUAAUGAUAAUGUGAAUGAUGCUCCUGUGAAUAUUUUUGACCCAAGAAAUUGGGAUAGUUUGGAUAAAAAGUUGAUAGAUUUGUUGGUAGAAAAGGUCCUCAUAGAGAUCUUUCAAUAGAAAAUGGUCCUCCAAACAAGUUCAAUAGACGUUUCAGUUCAAAAUUCUACACUCGGUUUUUAGGAAUUGGAGUGAAAUAUGAUAGAGAGUGGCUAGUGUACUCAAAGGAAAUUGAUAAGGUUUUUUGUUUUUGUUGCAAGUUGUUUAAGAGAGAGCCAAUGCAAGGUUAGUUACCGAAUGAUGGGUACAAUGAUUGGGUUCAUCUUAGUAAAAGACUUAAAGAGCAUGAAAUGAGCACUGAUCAUCUCAUUAAUGCAAAUACUUGGACUGAUUUGCGUAUUCGAUUGCAGAAGCAUGAAACAAUUGAUAAAGCUUUUCAAGAUGAAAGAGAAAGAACACUGGAGGAAUGUGCUUAAAAGAAUAAUUGCAAUUGUCAAAUUUCUUGCUAAAAAUAACUUAGAUUUCCGUGGAACUGAUGAGAGGCUUUGUGAACCUGAUAAUGGACACUUCUUAGGCCAAGUUGAAAUGGUGGCAGAAUGUGAAGAAGUGAUGGAGGAGCAUUGUAGACGCAUAAAUAGUUUUGAAAUUCAUCAUCACUAUCUUGGUCAUAAAAUUCAGAAUGAGUUGCUGCAUAUGAUAGCUAUUGAAAUUAAAGCUGAAAUCAUAAAAAAAAUUAAAGAUGCUGAAUAUUUCUCGGUUAUUCUUGAUUGCACACUAGAUAUUAGUCACCAAGAGCAGAUGUCAUUGAUAAUUAGAUGUGUAAAUGUUUCAAAGAGUCCAAUACAAAUUGAAGAGUUCUUUUUGGAGUUUUUAAAUCUACAUGACACUUCUGGUCAGGGACUAUUUGAAGAGCUGCAGGCUGUGGUAUAAUCAUUGGAUCUUGAUAUUAACAAUGUGAGGGGACAAGGAUAUGACAACGGGUCAAACAUGAAAGGCAAACACCAAGGGGUUCUACAAAGCAAUGGCAGAUUUUGAAAGACAACCUAAAAGGAUUCACUCUCAAAUCAUUAUCCACUACGCAUUGGGAGAGUCCUAUUGAAAGUGUUAAGCCUCUACGAUUCAACGCCGUUGAAAUAAGAGAAGCAUUACUUCAAUUGGCAGAAAUUGACAAGGAUCCCAAAAUUAAAAGUGGUGCAAAGUCGAUAGCAACUAAUGAUUUGGGAGACUUUGAGUUUUUGCUAAGCAUGGUGAUUUGGUAUGAGAUGUUGUUUUCUUUUAAUAGGGUUAGCAAAGUGCUGCAGUCUAAUGAUAUGCAAAUUAGUGUUGCUAUAGCUGAAGUAAAAGGUCUAAUUGCUUGGCUUGAUAAGUUUAGAGAAACUGGCUUCAUAGAUGCAAUGAUUACUGCUAAAGAAAUUGCUGCUGCAUUAGAUGUUGAUCCUAUUUUUCUGGAAAAGCGUCCAAUUCAAAUAACAAGAUUUUUUUAUGA
This is a long non-coding RNA of Rosa chinensis, 2096 nucleotides long. RefSeq lists it as uncharacterized. NCBI's taxonomy places the organism in Eukaryota, Viridiplantae, Streptophyta, Magnoliopsida, Rosales, Rosaceae. The record is from RefSeq and is a predicted model, not a curated record. The transcript has 3 exons.